Lepisosteus oculatus (spotted gar) is the source of this 202-nucleotide non-coding RNA. The record is from RefSeq and is a predicted model, not a curated record. Lineage: Eukaryota; Metazoa; Chordata; Actinopteri; Semionotiformes; Lepisosteidae.
UGAUUGGUGCUGUUUCCUAUACAUAUAUGUUCACUAACUGCAAUGAUCAAAUCACAUGGACUUUUCUUGCAUGCAGAUCAGACCAUGGCUUUUCUUUGAAACUGAAAUGGGUAAUCUCAGUUCAACAUCAGAAUCAGAACCAGAACCAGAAUCAGAAUCAGAACUUGAUAAACCAUGGAGGGAAAUACUCUGGAGCAAAGAG